GACGAACGCUGGCGGCGCGCCUAACACAUGCAAGUCGAGCGAUGAAAUUUUAACCGAUCUCUUCGGAGAGAAGAUAAAAUGGAUUAGCGGCGGACGGGUGAGUAACACGUGAGAAACCUGCCUUUCACAAGGGGAUAGCCUCGGGAAACCGGGAUUAAUACCCUAUGACACAUUUCCUUCGCAUGGAAGAAAUGUUAAAACUCCGGUGGUGAAAGAUGGUCUCGCGCCUGAUUAGCUAGUUGGUGGGGUAACGGCCCACCAAGGCCAUGAUCAGUAGCCGGCCUGAGAGGGUGAACGGUCACAUUGGAACUGAGACACGGUCCAAACUCCUACGGGAGGCAGCAGUGGGGAAUAUUGCACAAUGGAGGAAACUCUGAUGCAGCGACGCCGCGUGAGCGAUGAAGGCUUUCGAGUCGUAAAGCUCUGUCCUAUGGGAAGAUAAUGACGGUACCAUAGGAGGAAGCCCCGGCUAACUACGUG
Molecule: ribosomal RNA, 480 nt
Filed under: uncultured bacterium
Lineage: Bacteria
Description: partial 16S ribosomal RNA
Rfam family: Bacterial small subunit ribosomal RNA
Source: RNAcentral